CGUGCACGCUGGCGGUAGGCCUAACACAUGCAAGUCGAACGGCAGCACAGUAAGAGCUUGCUCUUACGGGUGGCGAGUGGCGGACGGGUGAGGAAUACAUCGGAAUCUACUUUUUCGUGGGGGAUAACGUAGGGAAACUUACGCUAAUACCGCAUACGACCUACGGGUGAAAGCAGGGGAUCUUCUGACCUUGCGCGAUUGAAUGAGCCGAUGUCGGAUUAGCUAGUUGGCGGGGUAAAGGCCCACCAAGGCGACGAUCCGUAGCUGGUCUGAGAGGAUGGUCAGCCACACUGGAACUGAGACACGGUCCCGACUCCUACGGGAGGCAGCAGUGGGGAAUAUUGGGCAAUGGGCGCAAGCCUGAUCCAGCCAUACCGCGUGGGUGAAGAAGGCCUUCCGGUUGUAAAGCCCUUUUGUUGGGAAAGAAAAGCAGCAGGUUAAUACCCCGCUGUUCUGACGGUACCCAAAGAAUAAGCACCGGCUAACUUCGUG
This 492-nucleotide ribosomal RNA is filed under the name uncultured bacterium. Its description in RNAcentral is "partial 16S ribosomal RNA". It matches the Rfam family "Bacterial small subunit ribosomal RNA", at positions 29 to 507 of the family's 1533-position model. The record is from RNAcentral.